AGUCUUUGGGAGGUCUUCGCAUCAGCUUUGGAACCAGUAAAAGUUCUGAAACUGAAGUGGACUGGAUGGGCUCUACUUCAGAGGAAGUUGCUCUCUGGGAAAAGAUGGUAAAUUCCCCCAACACUUGGAUUGAAGCAACCCUGCCUCUCAGAGUGCUGCCUAUCGCCAGGAUUUCCAAA
Myotis davidii is the source of this 179-nucleotide long non-coding RNA. RefSeq lists it as uncharacterized. The transcript is spliced from 2 exons. The record is from RefSeq and is a predicted model, not a curated record. NCBI's taxonomy places the organism in Eukaryota, Metazoa, Chordata, Mammalia, Chiroptera, Vespertilionidae.